This 449-nucleotide ribosomal RNA is filed under the name uncultured bacterium. Its description in RNAcentral is "partial 16S ribosomal RNA". It matches the Rfam family "Bacterial small subunit ribosomal RNA", at positions 29 to 523 of the family's 1533-position model. The record is from RNAcentral.
AACGAACGCUGGCGGCAGGCUUAACACAUGCAAGUCGAACGCAUCCUUCGGGGUGAGUGGCAGACGGGUGAGUAACGCGUGGGAACGUGCCCUUCAGUUUGGGAUAAGCCAGGGAAACUUGGGCUAAUACCGGAUACGUGCGCGAGCUGAAAGAUUUAUCGCUGAAGGAUCGGCCCGCGUCUGAUUAGCUAGUUGGUGGGGUAAUGGCCUACCAAGGCUCCGAUCGGUAGCUGGUCUGCGAGGAUGGCCAGCCACACUGGGACUGAGACACGGCCCAGAAUCCUACGGGAGGCAGCAGUGGGGAAUAUUGGACAAUGGGGGAAACCCUGAUCCAGCCAUGCCGCGUGAGUGAUGAAGGCCUUAGGGUUGUAAAGCUCUUUCACCCACGACGAUGAUGACGGUAGUGGGAGAAGAAGCCCCGGCUAACUUCGUGCCAGCCGCCGCAGUAA